AGUGAAAGAAUGCAUUUUUAAAUAGUGAUUGAUAGAGAAUGUGUGGUUAAAAAGUAAGAAAAAAUUGGAUUUGCGUGUAAUAUUAUUUUAUUGAAGAAUAUGUGGUUGAAAAUGAGUUUUGAGAAAAUGAAUUUUUGGAAGAAUGGGAAUCAAACAAGGGCUAUAUGGGGUAGUGCAUAUUUAAAGAUUGGUUUUGAGAUCUUGGAUUUUCGCUCAUGCUCAAGCAAUGUAGAUGAUUUGUAUCCUAUAAUCAAUGGUUGCUUGAUCUGAUAUUCAGGAUCAAUAGUACACUGAGAUUUGGCGGAACUAGUCUUGCAUAGAUGACUACAAGCCGCAUGGUGCCCAUUUCUCAGCCUUAUGAAAAGCACUGUGUCAUGCCCGCAUGCAUUACAGUCAAACAAUCAGUGAGACAGGUUUGGUAGAAUGGUAUUUCAAAGUAUCCUACACCUACCCAUGGAAGUAUGGCUAGAGGGCAACAAUCCUCAAGCCACGUAUAACAUUACUCUAGAUAUUGCACUGCUACCCUCUAGGAGGUGUGGCUUAUAACAGUUUAACCAAUGCAGUACAGACUGUUCUGUCACAAUGAAUUUCCAGCUAAGGGCAGUGAAUACGAAGUCAAAAGAUAUCUUCCUCAUAAUUUGCUAAAUGGAAACUGCUAAAUUAGCGGAAUCAUGGGACAAGCUUCAUAAAUACGAAAUAGGAAAGGGCCCAAACACAAAAAUGCUGAUGGUAGCAUUCCCAAAUGACAAGUUUAACAACAAAAACCAUGCAAUAUUGUGAAUGCAUAGAGCCCUUAUCCAAGUUUGUGGCUCUCAAAUUCUUCUCAACCUCCCCCAAUCUCCACCAUUCUUUCCUAGACAAAACCCAAAAAACAACAAAGAUACAAGGGGCAUUGAUUUCAUAGUUUUUUAGUAGCUGGCCUUAUCCAUUAGCAAAAGUAAUGAUUGGCUGAUUUUAACUGAUUAUCAGAAGUAGCCUUAAUCCCCUUUUACUUCAAAGGUAUUAAAGGUAAAUAAUGAUUUUAUUUUAUUUCAUCAUCUGAAAUAAAAAAUGUUUCUUAUUAUAAUAUCAUUCCACAGCUUUCUUGCUGAAGU
RNAcentral lists this long non-coding RNA (1094 nucleotides) under Olea europaea (common olive). Its description in RNAcentral is "long non-coding RNA (OEUR_LNC013414)". The record is from RNAcentral. Lineage: Eukaryota; Viridiplantae; Streptophyta; Magnoliopsida; Lamiales; Oleaceae.